GGAUAAGUGGCGGAAUUGGAAACGCCUAAUUAUGUAGUUUAACGGUGCGGCUCUUGAAGUAUCAUUCCCGGUUCGAAUCCGGGCUUAUCCA
Molecule: transfer RNA, 91 nt
Filed under: Bacteroides ovatus
Lineage: Bacteria; Pseudomonadati; Bacteroidota; Bacteroidia; Bacteroidales; Bacteroidaceae
Description: tRNA-Thr
Rfam family: tRNA
About the family: Transfer RNA (tRNA) molecules are approximately 80 nucleotides in length. Their secondary structure includes four short double-helical elements and three loops (D, anti-codon, and T loops).
Source: RNAcentral